Molecule: non-coding RNA, 1124 nt
Organism: Peromyscus maniculatus bairdii (prairie deer mouse)
Lineage: Eukaryota; Metazoa; Chordata; Mammalia; Rodentia; Cricetidae
Source: RefSeq, a predicted model, not a curated record
GAGCCCACAACUGACUCAGUUUCCCAGUUUGAAUCUGAAGUCUAUUCUGAAUCAAUAAAGUUCAGGCUUGUUUGUUCCAAGGCUGUGAGAAAGUUCUGAUUAGCCCACAGAGUCUACUUGAAGGACUGUGAGAAAGUCCUGAUUAGCCCACAAGAAGGAACAUACUGUCUAGCUAGAUACAGGCUGCUGAUGCUAGCCACAGGUACAUUGAGAUAGAAAAAGAAACUGCUCCUUGGCAGGAGGCAGGAUAGACAGCUGAGCAUUGUUCUACCUCUAUCCUUCUAGGCUGUACAUAAGCUGGCUGUGAAAUAAACUCGGGGCUGUCCAGCAUUGACCAGCAGACCUCUCGACUCUUUUCUGUCUUCGUCAUCGUCUCUUCAAUCCACAUGCCUCUACCCAGCUACCCAGCUGACUGUCGGAAGGCCCAACAAGUGGCGCCCAUUGAGGGGGCUGGUACAGAGGCGUCUGUGACGGACACCACAGAAGAAAAAAGAGUGUACUCGAAAAGUGGAAGCUGUGUGUGAGAAAAGAUGUUGAAUUACCAGCCUGCAUACUCUGCAGUUUUGGGGAAAAUUAUGCUUUCGCCUCCACAGGAAAAGAAAAAAUACAUGGAUUCCGGUCAUUUGAGUUCAAUGGGUUACAAAUAUUUGUCAUCAUUUAAGAGAAUUGAUUACAAAUUAUUAUUGAAUAAGAUAAGAAAAACUUUUGCUAAUCUGAAAUGUUUCACAUUGAUACAUGUUUUUAAUAUAUUAAUGCAAAAAUAAGUUUUUGUUAUGAUAUAUGCAUAUAUCUAUAAGUUUCUAUUCUUGUUUGAAAUGUUAUGCCUAUGCAGUGUUCUAAACUGCUGGGAAGAAACCACAAGGAAAGGAACUUUGGUGGAAAUUUGCAUAUUGUCUGAAAAGCAAGAGAAGGUGAAAGAUUAGAAUAAUGAUAGGAAAGAGAAAAAAGGAAUUUGUCUAUGUCAGGCUGAACCAGAAGAGCAAACAUAGGGAAGGACCUGACCUCAAGGUAAAUGGUAAGUUGUAGAAUGUCAGAGAAGAUGUGAACUAUGCUGAAUGUGAAGGAAAACUUUAAGAUAUAAGUGGGAUUUAACCAUAUUAUGUUAAUUCUGGUUUUCUUCAUUU